This 313-nucleotide ribosomal RNA is filed under the name uncultured bacterium. Its description in RNAcentral is "bacterial SSU rRNA". It matches the Rfam family "Bacterial small subunit ribosomal RNA", at positions 28 to 335 of the family's 1533-position model. The record is from RNAcentral.
GACGAACGCUGGCGGCGCGCCUAACACAUGCAAGUCGAACGAGCGAGAGAGAGCUUGCUUUCUCAAGCGAGUGGCGAACGGGUGAGUAACGCGUGAGGAACCUGCCUCAAAGAGGGGGACAACAGUUGGAAACGACUGCUAAUACCGCAUAGGCCCACGGCUCGGCAUCGAGCAGAGGGAAAAGGAGUGAUCCGCUUUGAGAUGGCCUCGCGUCCGAUUAGCUAGUUGGUGGGGUAACGGCCUACCAAGGCGACGAUGCAUAGCCGACCUAAGAGGGCGAACGGCCACAUUGGGACUGAGACCACGGCCCCAA